Molecule: ribosomal RNA, 304 nt
Filed under: uncultured bacterium
Lineage: Bacteria
Description: partial 16S ribosomal RNA
Rfam family: Bacterial small subunit ribosomal RNA
Source: RNAcentral
CAGCAGUCGCCGCGGGAAUACGAAGGGGGCUAGCGUUGUUCGGAUUUACUGGGCGUAAAGCGCACGUAGGCGGACUUUUAAGUCAGGGGUGAAAUCCCGGGGCUCAACCCCGGAACUGCCUUUGAUACUGGAAGUCUUGAGUAUGGUAGAGGUGAGUGGAAUUCCGAGUGUAGAGGUGAAAUUCGUAGAUAUUCGGAGGAACACCAGUGGCGAAGGCGGCUCACUGGACCAUUACUGACGCUGAGGUGCGAAAGCGUGGGGAGCAAACAGGAUUAGAUACCCCAGUAGUCCCUGUCUCUUAUAA